UAGGUGCAGCCUUGAGUGUUCAAUUAUGGGGGUAGAGCACUGAAUGACCUAGGGGGCAUACUGCUUACCGAAGUCAAUCAAACUCCGAAUACCAUAAUUCUAGAGCUCAGGAGUGAGACUAUGGGAAUUAACUUCCAUGGUCAAAAGGGAAACAACCCAGACCACCAGCUAAGGUCCCUAAUUAUAACUAAGUGGGAAAGGAGGUGGAGAUUCACAAACAACCAGGAGGUUGGCUUAGAAGCAGCCAUACCUUUAAAGAGUGCGUAAUAGCUCACUGGUCGAGAGUCUCUGCGCCGACAAUGUAACGGGGCUAAGUUAUAAACCGAAGCUGUGGAGUUGCGUAAGCGACUGGUAGGAGAGCGUUCUGUAGGCCGUUGAAGGAGAAUCGACAAGAGACUCUGGAGGUAUCAGAAGUGAGAAUGCAGGAAUAAGUAGCGAGAAUGGGGGCGAGAAUCCCCCACGCCGGAAGACCAAGGGUUCCAGGGUAAAGUUUGUCUCCCCUGGGUAAGCCGGGUCCUAAGCCGAGGCUAGAUUGCGUAGGCGAAUGGAAAACAGAUUAAUAUUUCUGUGCCACUGAUAUCAAGUGAUGGAGGGACGCAGGAGGUUAUGCACGCUGGCGAACGGAAGUGCCAGUUCAAGCAUGUAGCGUGGUCUAGUAGGAAAAUCCGCUAGACUAAACGUGAGGUGUGAUGAGGAGUCGUAAGAUGGAAGGUGCAAAUACCACACUGCCGAGAAAAGCUUCUAAGCGUUAUAAAGAUAUUAGUGCCCGUACCCCAAACCGACACAGGUGGUCAGGAUGAGAAAUCUAAGGCGGACAGGCUAACUCUCGUUAAGGAACUCUGCAAAAUAGCCCCGUAACUUCGGGAGAAGGGGUGCCUUUUAUGGUGAGCGUACACGCGACGCAAAGCUAUGAGAGGCCGCAGUGAAGAGUCUCAGGCGACUGUUUAACAAAAACACAGGUCUAUGCUAAGCUGUAAGGCGACGUAUAUGGGCUGACACCUGCCCAGUGCCGGAAGGUUAAGAGGAGGAGUGAGAGCUCCGAAUUGAAGCCCCGGUGAACGGCGGCCGUAACUAUAACGGUCCUAAGGUAGCGAAAUUCCUUGUCGGGUAAGUUCCGACCUGCACGAAUGGUGUAACGAUCUGAGAGCUGUCUUGACGGGAGGCCUGGUGAAAUUGUAUUACCGGUGAAGAUACCGGUUACCUGCAGUAGGACGGAAAGACCCCAUGGAGCUUUACUGUAGCUUGGUAUUGGGUUUUGGCAUCGUAUGUAUAGGAUAGUUGGGAGACUAUGAUGCGUGGUCGCUAGAUUACGCGGAGUCACUGGUGGAAUACCAACCAUACUAUGUCGGAAUUCUAAUUUGAGGUUUGUACCCUCGAAGACAGUGCUAGGUGGGCAGUUUGACUGGGGCGGUCGCCUCCGAAAGAGUAACGGAGGCGUUCAAAGGUUCUCUCAGGUUGGAUGGAAAUCAACCGCAGAGUGCAAUGGCAUAAGAGAGCUUAACUGCGAGACUGACGGGUCGAGCAGGUGCGAAAGCAGGACAUAGUGAUCCGGCGAUUCCGAAUGGAAGGGUCGUCGCUCAACGGAUAAAAGCUACCCUGGGGAUAACAGGCUGAUUCUACCCGAGAGUCCAUAUCGACGGUAGAGUUUGGCACCUCGAUGUCGGCUCAUCGCAUCCUGGGGCUGGAGAAGGUCCCAAGGGUUGGGCUGUUCGCCCAUUAAAGCGGUACGUGAGCUGGGUUCAGAACGUCGUGAGACAGUUCGGUCCCUAUCCACUGUAGGCGUUAGAGUAUUGAGAAGAUCUGUCCUUAGUACGAGAGGACCGGGAUGGACAAACCUCUGAUGUACCAGUUGUCACGCCAGUGGCACAGCUGGGUAGUCACGUUUGGAACAGAUAACCGCUGAAAGCAUCUAAGCGGGAAACUGACUUCAAGAUAAGUACUCUUUAAGAUACCUUCGAGACUAGGAGGUUGAUAGGUUGGGGGUGUAAGAGUUGUGAGACUUUUAGCUGACCAAUACUAAUAUAUCGAAGUUUUAACCUUAAUAUACUACUAUAUAGUUUC
This 2061-nucleotide ribosomal RNA is filed under the name Cetobacterium sp. 2G large. RNAcentral describes it as "partial 23S ribosomal RNA". It matches the Rfam family "Bacterial large subunit ribosomal RNA", at positions 871 to 2925 of the family's 2925-position model. Lineage: Bacteria; Fusobacteriati; Fusobacteriota; Fusobacteriia; Fusobacteriales; Fusobacteriaceae. The record is from RNAcentral.